GCGGACUAGAGGGGCUGAACAGAGGGCUAAUCAGAGGAGACACCUCGCAGGGAGCAGGGGGAUGGGAUGGAAGAUUUUAAGUGGAACGUAAAGAAAUCGGACGUGACAUCUUCAUUUCCUGCCAGGACCUAAUUCGGUCUGAGGACGCUCAGCUCGGGGAGCAAGAAUUAAUGGAAGGGAAUUGGACUGCAUACCCGGAUAAAUAGAAACCAUUGUAGACGUCAAACUUCCCUGUCCUUCAUCUCAGCCGUGACUCAGCAUCCAAUUGGUUCAUUAAAAAGAAAAUAAACCCCACAAAGCGUCUUUCUGACAUUUUCUCAAAUCCUCCUCAGCUGAUCCGGUUUUGAGCUAUUGUCCCAGGAGAGACCAGGAGGUCGGGGCCAUGACUGGGCCUGCCUCACUCCCAGCCCAGCUUGUGGACCUCUGGAAUCCCCGUCAGCCACUGCCACCCCCACUCCAACCCAAGGACAAGAGCAGCUGCAAUCAAUACAGCAAAACUACUCAGAAUGGGCUUGUUUUGUUUUGCAAUAACUGCCUCCAACUAGUAAAUGUGUUUGAUCCUGCUAAUUAAAAAGCAAACUGUACAUACCAUUAAUUUGAUCCUGAGACAGAAAUUUUGCCUGUAGCAGAGAGAGAGAAGAAGGAAGAGAGAGAAAGUUAGCAAGAAGAAAUCAUCCACAGCUGGCCUUCCUUGCUCCAUGCUGAGCCCAACCAGAGAACUCAGUCCACUCACCAUUAUUUCCUAGUUGGGUCGGGAGCCGGCUACCUGGACUCUCAAGAUUCCCUUUUCUUUGUUACUUCCCUUCUUGUUGAUUCAGUGCUAAAGUCCAGCCAAUGCCAACUUGGGGUGGAGAAGGAUGGUAAUAAAUACCCAGCUGCCAUGGCAACCAGGCUCCAUCUGUACAGCGGGGUCGGAUUCCAACUUGCAGCAGCAGCUGCCGUAUCUGCCCAGUAAGGGGCCACAAAUUAAAAUGAAGUUUUCCAGGAAAAUGGCUGAGAACGUGGGAUCCUGGCUUUGGAGUGGUCUUGCCACUCCUGGGGGGGUGGGAGCAAGGAGCAGCCGCAGAAGCAUAGAUUGCUGUUGAGGUCUCAGACCUGCAAGGUGAGCCCUCCUCAUGGAAUAACUUGGCCUAAGGGCCUGAUGCUGGGGUCUCCUGCUGGGCUCAUUUGCCACUGCCAAAGAACCGAGCACAUGAGGUUCCGGCAUCUCAUGAUGGGAGUGACUUUUUUAUAUAACGCGAGUAAUGGUCAGAGACUUGCUUUUUUGGCCAAAGAGAUUCACCCUUUGGGUCUGUGUGAGGCUGCUUUGCAUUUCAUUCUCCUUUUGUUUUCAUUCUUCAUCUAGGGUGUAUAAUUCUCUGGUGGUCACUGGGCAUGGGGCAAGCACGGAGGGUCAGAAUAAAUGGGGAAAAUCCCCAGAUAACCUGAAAUGGGACAGGCCCAUUCACAGCAGAACAGGCAGUGGAUGACAGUGAGACAAGAGGGACUCGAUUUGCUGGGAGAAGCAAAAUGAUCUGGUUAAGCCUCAACCUGGAUAAGAGCUCCCCGAUGAUCAAUAUUUGACUGUCUUUCCUCGUAUCCUUGCCAGAGAGGUGAUGCGCCUUACAGAAGAGCGUAGGACCUGGAAGCAGAGCCUCCAGCCUUAGCUGUCCUGUGUGAUCUACCUUAGGUAAAUAAUGACCUCUCUACACUUCAGUCUCCCUCUGCAAAAUAAGGGGAUUCAGAUAAAAGCUCCCUUCCAGCUCAAACAUUGUGUGAUUCUUUCUCAUGGAAAUCCUUGGGUAGGUGAGAUUGCAGCAUGGGGCAAGGGCUGUUAGUUACAUCUAACCUUUUGUUGUUCAGUCAUGUUUUGGUAGUGUCCAAUUCUUCAUGACCCCAUUUGGGAUUUUCUUGGCAAUGAUCACCACAGUGGUAUGCUGUCUUCCUCUAGUCCACUUUACAAAUGAGGAAACUGAGGCAAACAGAGAAGUCACUUGCCCAAGGUCAUAUAACUAAUGUCUAGAGCUAGGUUUGAAUUUUCUUGACUCCAGGCCCAGUGCUCUAUCCUCUGGCCACCUAUCUAAUUAGUGAGGAGGGGCUAAUUAUACUGUUAAGAGGACCCUGAAUGGAAAAAGCAGGGGAAGGACAGUUUUAUCCUAUCUGAACUCAGUGACCGUUAAAGAUGUUUGUGUCUGAGAUGGAAUCCCCAUGGAUUUGGGUUGAGAACAGAUGGGAAUAUGUGCAAGCAGAUAAUAUAUCUUGAAUUUCCCUGGAAUAAUUAAUUUUGGAUCAAUAUUUUGGAUUAAUUUUU
This is a long non-coding RNA of Sarcophilus harrisii (Tasmanian devil), 2290 nucleotides long. RefSeq lists it as uncharacterized. NCBI's taxonomy places the organism in Eukaryota, Metazoa, Chordata, Mammalia, Dasyuromorphia, Dasyuridae. The record is from RefSeq and is a predicted model, not a curated record. The transcript is spliced from 3 exons.